GAGUAAUGUCUGGGAAACUGCCUGAUGGAGGGGGAUAACUACUGGAAACGGUAGCUAAUACCGCAUAACGUCGCAAGACCAAAGAGGGGGACCUUCGGGCCUCUUGCCAUCGGAUGUGCCCAGAUGGGAUUAGCUAGUAGGUGGGGUAACGGCUCACCUAGGCGACGAUCCCUAGCUGGUCUGAGAGGAUGACCAGCCACACUGGAACUGAGACACGGUCCAGACUCCUACGGGAGGCAGCAGUGGGGAAUAUUGCACAAUGGGCGCAAGCCUGAUGCAGCCAUGCCGCGUGUAUGAAGAAGGCCUUCGGGUUGUAAAGUACUUUCAGCGGGGAGGAAGGGAGUAAAGUUAAUACCUUUGCUCAUUGACGUUACCCGCAGAAGAAGCACCGGCUAACUCCGUGCCAGCAGCCGCGGUAAUACGGAGGGUGCAAGCGUUAAUCGGAAUUACUGGGCGUAAAGCGCACGCAGGCGGUUUGUUAAGUCAGAUGUGAAAUCCCCGGGCUCAACCUGGGAACUGCAUCUGAUACUGGCAAGCUUGAGUCUCGUAGAGGGGGGUAGAAUUCCAGGUGUAGCGGUGAAAUGCGUAGAGAUCUGGAGGAAUACCGGUGGC
RNAcentral lists this ribosomal RNA (612 nucleotides) under Escherichia coli. RNAcentral describes it as "bacterial SSU rRNA". It matches the Rfam family "Bacterial small subunit ribosomal RNA", at positions 108 to 716 of the family's 1533-position model. Lineage: Bacteria; Pseudomonadati; Pseudomonadota; Gammaproteobacteria; Enterobacterales; Enterobacteriaceae. The record is from RNAcentral.